GUGUGUGUGUGUGUGUGUGUGUGUGUGUGUGUGUGUGUGUGUGCGUGCACUUACAUUUCUUACUUCAUGGGGUCCCACCGCAGGGAGCACACCAACCGCGGGGGGCCCACAACCGGUAUGGGGCCCUAAAUGGUGGGCCCCACACCGGUUUUCAUUCAAAAUGAGCUUUGCAGCCCCCCCUGAUGCCCCUCUUGCUUUUUUUUCACUUGGCCCACAAGGUCAGAAAAACUGGAAAUGUGUGUGUAAGUGUGUGUAAACUUUUUGCUCACUACCGCCCCCCGGAGCUUGUAAGGUGGAAGGUACGGACACACACACACCGGAAGUUUGUUUACACACUUCAGGAAGUGGGUAGGGUUUUAACAAGAAGAAGAGGAAGAUCAAGCUCAAGAUCGACAGCAUGCAACAGAGCCAUUAUGUCCAAAAGGAGGAGAAGGAUAAAGCCUGUAGAUGAUGCAAAGACAUAUAUUCUGUCUUGCACUGACAAGUCUGGAUUUAUGUCAAGACUCAUAGACAGUUUCAAAGGAAGAGGAGUGUUUGC
Long non-coding RNA from Solea solea (common sole), 538 nucleotides. RefSeq lists it as uncharacterized. Lineage: Eukaryota; Metazoa; Chordata; Actinopteri; Pleuronectiformes; Soleidae. The transcript has 3 exons. The record is from RefSeq and is a predicted model, not a curated record.